Molecule: long non-coding RNA, 1730 nt
Organism: Helianthus annuus (common sunflower)
Lineage: Eukaryota; Viridiplantae; Streptophyta; Magnoliopsida; Asterales; Asteraceae
Exons: 2
Source: RefSeq, a predicted model, not a curated record
GAAAUGGACUGAAUUAACUGAAAAUGAUCUGUCUUUAAAACUUUUUAACGGAAAAUAUUUGUAGCUUUUUCAUUAUAAAUAUAUGACCAUAUCGUGUUUUUCGUAGAUUUUCGUCUUCAGCGGACAAGUUGUAGCAACGUCUCCUCAGUGACAGAGACAACCAUUGAGGUUUCACAUGUAAUGCGAUCCAGGGUUACUCUCAUCAGUAUUCUUGAAGUUGGAUGACGCUUUGAGAAAAGAAUUUUGCCCAGAAAAAGUUACCAUACACAUCUCAAAUUCAAAUCACCAGUAAUAUUAAAAGUUAACUCCUUUUUUUACUAUUUUCUUUUAUACCAAGGGCUACUCUUGAUUAAUUUAUGCAUUAGGAACUUUUUUUUUGUCGUUUUAGUUAAUAUAAUCCUACAAGUUGCAAAUUGGGCGGGCUGCGUACUGGGUCAAAACAGAUUUGGAAAUGACUUUUGUUGUUUGAGAUUUAGUUAAGCAAUCGUUUUGUUCAUACUUUAAGAAUGUAGUAUCUUUUUCCACUUUGAAAAUAAAAAGAGUAAAGGAGUGAAAGUUGAUCUAAAUGUUAGUUAGAGAAAGCUUGAAUUGCUCAAUUUUAAUAAACUGAUAAAUUUAUUUUGGUUUUUAUUUGAACCUAUAACAAUAGAGUUUGAAAAACAAUGAACUAAUUGCAAAGUAGAUGGAUAGAAGGAUAAGGCUCAAGAAAAUGAAUAUGUUCGUGAGCAAAAUACACCAGUUUAUCUAGACGAUUAUGGCAGAGUUGAUGAAUUGGUUGAACCUGGUACUAAAUAUCUAAAUGAGGUUCACUCCUUUACUCCUUUUACUUUCAUAUGUCAUGCUCUUUGCUAUUUUAGAUAAUAUAUAUGGUAUAUAUGUUUGUCUGCAGGCAUAUGAACAACGUUAGAAUUGAAAUGUCAUCUUGACCACAUUCUUAGAUAUCCUUAUGGAAGCUUUUUUUAUUUUUCUCUAUUAUAAUUCUUUUGAUUUUGGCGGGUUGGGUUGAGUAACGGGUCAAAAUGAGUUCGUAUCAUAAUAGGCUAACUAAUAAUUGUUUCAAUUUGGUUCGGGUAAAAAGGUUCGGGUCAAAAUGGGUCUGGUUCAAUAUAAGUUCGAUUCUAAACAAGUUGAUUAAAAAAAUGACCAUAUUUAAUAACCAUAAACUGUGAGAAAUUUAACCACAGAUUGUCACAAAAGUCUAUUUCGUACAAAUUGAGUUGGGUUGACUCAAAACGUUGUCCUUCAAGAAUCUUUAAUAGAUAGACAGUUUUGAUUAAAUGAUUAAGUUUGUAUUCUAUAAAACUACACUUUAGUAUGUUAUGACCUGUUUCGUUUUCAAUUAAACUCUGACUUUUUACCAUUGACUUGAUAAGGAUAAAGAGUCCAAUGUCGAUAUCCCAAAUUUCCGAUUUCUUAUAUCAUUUGAUUAUACUUAUUAUUCUGAAAUUUAUGUCAAUCAAUCAUAUGCAGAUUUUGAGAGACUUAGGGGUUAGGACAAUGAAGUUGAUGACAAACAACCCUGCUAAGUAUAGUGGGCUCAAGGGCUUGAUUGACUCACAUUCUUUACUUACCCUCAUAAGCUUUUUUUAACUGAUAUUUAUAUAAUACUUUUUUAUUGGAUGGCAUAUGAUGUUUAUGACCAUUUUGGUGAUAAUUUUGAUACGAUAAUGGAUGUUAUAACAUAAAUAUUCAACGAGAAAAAAAAAUAAUUGAUGUAAGUUUACAAAACU